Molecule: ribosomal RNA, 492 nt
Filed under: uncultured bacterium
Lineage: Bacteria
Description: partial 16S ribosomal RNA
Rfam family: Bacterial small subunit ribosomal RNA
Source: RNAcentral
AGUGAACGCUGGCGGUAGGCCUAACACAUGCGAGUCGAACGGCAGCACAGUAAGAGCUUGCUCUUACGGGUGGCGAGUGGCGGACGGGUGAGGAAUACAUCGGAAUCUACUUUUUCGUGGGGGAUAACGUAGGGAAACUUACGCUAAUACCGCAUACGACCUACGGGUGAAAGCAGGGGAUCUUCGGACCUUGCGCGAUUGAAUGAGCUGAUGUCGGAUUAGCUAGUUGGCGGGGUAAAGGCCCACCAAGGCGACGAUCCGUAGCUGGUCUGAGAGGAUGAUCAGCCACACUGGAACUGAGACACGGUCCAGACUCCUACGGGAGGCAGCAGUGGGGAAUAUUGGACAAUGGGCGCAAGCCUGAUCCAGCCAUACCGCGUGGGUGAAGAAGGCCUUCGGGUUGUAAAGCCCUUUUGUUGGGAAAGAAAAGCAGCAGGUUAAUACCCCGCUGUUCUGACGGUACCCAAAGAAUAAGCACCGGCUAACUUCGUG